RNAcentral lists this unclassified non-coding RNA (215 nucleotides) under uncultured Sebacina. RNAcentral's name for it is "sequence contains ITS2". Lineage: Eukaryota; Fungi; Basidiomycota; Agaricomycetes; Sebacinales; Sebacinaceae. The record is from RNAcentral.
GUACUCUCACACUCUCGGAUUGUUUCGAUUCGGGAGCGGUGGACUUGGGUGUUGCUGCUGCUUACCUGCGGCUGGCUCGCCUCAAAUGCGUCAGUGCAUCUCUUGGUUGGACAUAGUACGGCGUGAUAAGUGUCUUCGCCGGCGCCUCGCAAGAGGGUGGCCGAUCGAGAGCUCUGUGCCCUCGAACCGUCCGUGGACUCGGACACUGUCUGACA